CACGAACCGUACGAACGUUAUUCGGAAUCACUGGGCUUAAAGGGUGCGUAGGCGGCCUGGUAAGUUGGGUGUGAAAUCCCUCGGCUUAACCGAGGAAUUGCGCUCAAGACUGCCAGGCUCGAGGGAGUCAGAGGUGAGCGGAACUUAGGGUGGAGCGGUGAAAUGCGUUGAUAUCCUAAGGAACACCAGGGGCGAAAGCGGCUCACUGGGACUCUUCUGACGCUGAGGCACGAAAGCUAGGGGAG
Molecule: ribosomal RNA, 245 nt
Filed under: uncultured bacterium
Lineage: Bacteria
Description: partial 16S ribosomal RNA
Rfam family: Bacterial small subunit ribosomal RNA
Source: RNAcentral